GAUGAACGCUGGCGGCGUGCUUAACACAUGCAAGUCGAACGGAAAGGCCCAAGCUUGCUUGGGUACUCGAGUGGCGAACGGGUGAGUAACACGUGGGUGAUCUGCCCUGCACUUCGGGAUAAGCCUGGGAAACUGGGUAUAAUAUCGGAUAGGACCACUUCUUGGAUGUUGUGGUGGAAAGUUUUUUCGGUGUGGGAUGAGCUCGCGGCCUAUCAGCUUGUUGGUGGGGUAAUGGCCUACCAAGGCGUCGACGGGUAGCCGGCCUGAGAGGGUGUACGGCCACAUUGGGACUGAGAUACGGCCCAGACUCCUACGGGAGGCAGCAGUGGGGAAUAUUGCACAAUGGGCGCAAGCCUGAUGCAGCGACGCCGCGUGGGGGAUGACGGCCUUCGGGUUGUAAACUCCUUUCGCUAGGGACGAAGCGUUUUGUGACGGUACCUGGAGAAGAAGCACCGGCUAACUACGUG
This 467-nucleotide ribosomal RNA is filed under the name uncultured bacterium. Its description in RNAcentral is "partial 16S ribosomal RNA". It matches the Rfam family "Bacterial small subunit ribosomal RNA", at positions 28 to 507 of the family's 1533-position model. The record is from RNAcentral.